AGGUAUAUAGCUCAAGUGGUAGAGUGCAUGCUUAGCAUGCACAAGGUCCUGGGUUCAAUCCCCAAUAUACCUC
RNAcentral lists this transfer RNA (73 nucleotides) under Camelus bactrianus (Bactrian camel). It matches the Rfam family "tRNA". From Rfam's summary of the family: Transfer RNA (tRNA) molecules are approximately 80 nucleotides in length. Their secondary structure includes four short double-helical elements and three loops (D, anti-codon, and T loops). Further hydrogen bonds mediate the characteristic L-shaped molecular structure. tRNAs have two regions of fundamental functional importance: the anti-codon, which is responsible for specific mRNA codon recognition, and the 3' end, to which the tRNAs corresponding amino acid is attached (by aminoacyl-tRNA synthetases). tRNAs cope with the degeneracy of the genetic code in two manners: having more than one tRNA (with a specific anti-codon) for a particular amino acid; and 'wobble' base-pairing, i.e. permitting non-standard base-pairing at the 3rd anti-codon position. The record is from Rfam by way of RNAcentral. Lineage: Eukaryota; Metazoa; Chordata; Mammalia; Artiodactyla; Camelidae. RNAcentral also lists the same sequence under 2 other names.